This 73-nucleotide transfer RNA is filed under the name Anguilla anguilla (European eel). RNAcentral describes it as "tRNA-OTHER". The record is from RNAcentral. Lineage: Eukaryota; Metazoa; Chordata; Actinopteri; Anguilliformes; Anguillidae.
GGUACAGUGGUGCAAUGGGUAGCACGGUCGCCUCGCAGCACGAAGGUCCUGGGUUCACAUCCCGGCCGGGGCC